RNAcentral lists this ribosomal RNA (656 nucleotides) under uncultured Roseateles sp. RNAcentral's name for it is "bacterial SSU rRNA". It matches the Rfam family "Bacterial small subunit ribosomal RNA", at positions 104 to 756 of the family's 1533-position model. The record is from RNAcentral. Lineage: Bacteria; Pseudomonadati; Pseudomonadota; Betaproteobacteria; Burkholderiales; Sphaerotilaceae.
GGGUGAGUAAUGUAUCGGAACGUGCCCAGUCGUGGGGGAUAACUGCUCGAAAGAGCAGCUAAUACCGCAUACGACCUGAGGGUGAAAGCGGGGGAUCGCAAGACCUCGCGCGAUUGGAGCGGCCGAUAUCAGAUUAGGUAGUUGGUGAGGUAAAGGCUCACCAAGCCGACGAUCUGUAGCUGGUCUGAGAGGACGACCAGCCACACUGGGACUGAGACACGGCCCAGACUCCUACGGGAGGCAGCAGUGGGGAAUUUUGGACAAUGGGCGCAAGCCUGAUCCAGCCAUGCCGCGUGCGGGAAGAAGGCCUUCGGGUUGUAAACCGCUUUUGUCAGGGAAGAAAAGGUUCUGGCUAAUACCUGGGACUCAUGACGGUACCUGAAGAAUAAGCACCGGCUAACUACGUGCCAGCAGCCGCGGUAAUACGUAGGGUGCAAGCGUUAAUCGGAAUUACUGGGCGUAAAGCGUGCGCAGGCGGUUAUGCAAGACAGAGGUGAAAUCCCCGGGCUCAACCUGGGAACUGCCUUUGUGACUGCAUGGCUAGAGUACGGUAGAGGGGGAUGGAAUUCCGCGUGUAGCAGUGAAAUGCGUAGAUAUGCGGAGGAACACCGAUGGCGAAGGCAAUCCCCUGGACCUGUACUGACGCUCAUGCACGA